AGUGGCGAACUGGUGAGUAACACGUGGGAAACCUGCCCAUAAGAGGGGGAUAACAGUCGGAAACGACUGCUAAUACCGCAUAGGUCAAGAAACCGCAUGGUUUCUGGAUGAAAGGAGGCUUCGGCUUUCGCUUAUGGAUGGUCCCGCGGCGUAUUAGCUAGUUGGUGAGGUAGAGGCUCACCAAGGCGAUGAUACGUAGCCGACCUGCGAGGGUGAUCGGCCACACUGGGACUGAGACACGGCCCAGACUCCUACGGGAGGCAGCAGUAGGGAAUCUUCCACAAUGGGUGCAAACCUGAUGGAGCAAUGCCGCGUGAGUGAAGAAGGUCUUCGGAUCGUAAAGCUCUGUUGUGAGAGAAGAACAGGUAGAGUAGUAACUGGCUCUAUUUUGACGGUAUCUCACCAGAAAGUCACGGCUAACUACGUGCCAGCAGCCGCGGUAAUACGUAGGUGACAAGCGUUGUCCGGAUUUAUUGGGCGUAAAGCGAGCGCAGGCGGUCUUUUAAGUCUGAUGUGAAAGCCCACGGCUCAACCGUGGAGGGUCAUUGGAACUGGAAGAC
RNAcentral lists this ribosomal RNA (560 nucleotides) under uncultured bacterium. RNAcentral describes it as "bacterial SSU rRNA". It matches the Rfam family "Bacterial small subunit ribosomal RNA", at positions 94 to 641 of the family's 1533-position model. The record is from RNAcentral.